AGUGAACGCUGGCGGUGGGCCUAACACAUGCAAGUCGAACGACAGCACAGUAAGCGCUUGCCCUUACGGGUGGCGGGUGACGGGCGGGUAAGGAAUACAUAAGCAUCUACUAUUUCGUGGAGGAUAACGGGGGACCACUUACGCUAAUACCGCAUACGACCAACGGGUGAGAGCAAUGGUUAUUCACGCCUUUCGCGAUUCAUUUAGCUGAAGUCGGAUUAGCUAGUUGGCGUGGUAAAGGCACACCAAGGCGACGAUCCGUAGCGUGGCUGAGAGGAUGAUCAGCCACACUGGAACUGAGACACGGUCCAGACUCCUACGGGAGGCAGCAGUGGGGAAUAUUGGGCAAUGGGCGCAAGCCUGAUCGAGCAACACCGCGUGGGUGAAGAAGGCCUUCGGGUUGUAAAGCCCUUUUGUUAGGAAAGAAAAACUGCAGAUGAAUACAUCGCUGUCUUGACGGUACCCAAAGAAUAAGCACCGGCUAACUUCGUG
RNAcentral lists this ribosomal RNA (492 nucleotides) under uncultured bacterium. Its description in RNAcentral is "partial 16S ribosomal RNA". It matches the Rfam family "Bacterial small subunit ribosomal RNA", at positions 29 to 507 of the family's 1533-position model. The record is from RNAcentral.